UACGAGGGGGGCGAGCGUUGGUCGGAAUUAUUGGGCGUAAAGGGUGCGUAGGCGGUUUGGUAAGUCUGAUGUGAAAUCUAUGGGCUCAACUCAUAGUCUGCAUCGGAAACUGCCGGGCUUGAGUGUGGGAGAGGUGAGUGGAAUUCCUGGUGUAGCGGUGAAAUGCGUAGAUAUCAGGAGGAACACCUGUGGCGAAAGCGGCUCACUGGACCAUAACUGACGCUGAUGCACGAAAGCUAGGGGAGCAAACAGG
This 253-nucleotide ribosomal RNA is filed under the name uncultured bacterium. RNAcentral's name for it is "partial 16S ribosomal RNA". It matches the Rfam family "Bacterial small subunit ribosomal RNA", at positions 524 to 776 of the family's 1533-position model. The record is from RNAcentral.